RNAcentral lists this long non-coding RNA (451 nucleotides) under Rosa chinensis. RNAcentral describes it as "sRNA RchiOBHm_Chr3g0483231". The record is from RNAcentral. Lineage: Eukaryota; Viridiplantae; Streptophyta; Magnoliopsida; Rosales; Rosaceae.
GAAAGAAAGAGAGAGAGAGAGAGAAAGAAAGAAAGAAAGAAAGAAAGAAAGAAAGAAAGAGAUCUUCCGGCAAAUUCUGGCAGCACAAAAAUGGUGAUCGAUGGAUUGAUUUGGCGGACGAUUCGUGAAAUUGUUGUUUCAGCUGUUAAGAAGACGCAGCUGGAUUAGAGGUGAUCGAUGGAUUGAUUUGGCGGAUGAUUCGUGAAAUUGUUGUUUGAGCUGUUAAGAAGUCGCAGCUGGAUUAGAGCGGGUAAUCUCACAGGUCAGGAGAAUCAGGGCAGUGAUCGUGCGGUUUAGAGUAUUAGUAUUGGAUUUACAGCAUUUGUUUUUGUGAGGAGAAUUAUACUCAUUUGAGCUUUACAAUUUGAUUUGGUGAGAGUGUGCUGUAAUAAGUAACUUGAGGAUUUGGUUUAUGUAAUAUUAAGAGGUGUAAGGUGUGGUUGUUUCUGAG